GACGAACGCUGGCGGCGUGCCUAAUACAUGCAAGUCGAACGAACCGCGACUGAGUGCUUGCACUUGGUCAAGGUGAGUGGCGAACGGGUGAGUAACACGUGGGUAACCUACCUCAUAGUGGGGGAUAACAGUCGGAAACGACUGCUAAUACCGCAUAGGACAUAGGAUCACAUGAUCCAGUGAGGAAAUGUGGCGCAAGCUAUCGCUAAGAGAUGGACCCGCGGUGCAUUAGCUAGUUGGUAGGGUAAAGGCCUACCAAGGCGAUGAUGCAUAGCCGACCUGAGAGGGUGAUCGGCCACAUUGGGACUGAGACACGGCCCAAACUCCUACGGGAGGCAGCAGUAGGGAAUCUUCCGCAAUGGACGCAAGUCUGACGGAGCAACGCCGCGUGAGUGAAGAAGGUCUUCGGAUCGUAAAGCUCUGUUGUUAGAGAAGAACAGCGCAUAGAGUAACUGCUAUGCGUGUGACGGUAGCUAACCAGAAAGCCACGGCUAACUACGUG
Molecule: ribosomal RNA, 502 nt
Filed under: uncultured bacterium
Lineage: Bacteria
Description: partial 16S ribosomal RNA
Rfam family: Bacterial small subunit ribosomal RNA
Source: RNAcentral